Long non-coding RNA from Mustela putorius furo (domestic ferret), 1925 nucleotides. NCBI's taxonomy places the organism in Eukaryota, Metazoa, Chordata, Mammalia, Carnivora, Mustelidae. The record is from Ensembl.
UUUUGAAACCCAGCCAGUCGGAGGGUCGUUAUUAUCGCUGCUGGCCGGCGAUACUUCCUCUUUUUCUUUCUAGCAGCUUAGGCUGUACUCUGUUACAAAGUCCAAACACCAGAUACAAGGAAAAGAGUAGUCAGGGAAUGUUCAGUUUUUCUUUUCUUACUGAGCCCACCUAUUAUGGAACCAUUAAAAUACUUAACUAGAGUAUGAAGCGAUGUGAAAUAAUGCCUAUGUUAGAUUUAAGAGGCAAAGUAUAAAUUCAUAAAUAGUAGAAUCAUAUUUUAAAGCACUCAAAUGAGGGAGGAGAAAAAGGACCAGAAGAAAUUACAACCUAUCACCUGUAUUUGGAUAAUAGCGUUAUGUUACUUUUUUCUUUUUGCUGUAUUUUCUAAAUUUUUCUGAAAAAAAUUAUGUUUUUGCGCUGGGAAAUAUUUAAAAGCUUUUCUAAGGAAACAGUCAAUCUGAUAAGGAUUUCUUUAUGAAGAUAGACAUCACAACAACACUGUUUCUAUUGAAGAGAAAUUGGCAUCCAACGAUAGAAAUGUGCAUUAGUGAGCAAGCCAUGACAUCAUACUGCUGGAAUGCUGCAAUUAGCCCAACUCUUGCCUGCUGGUUAGAGAAAGUUUUCAUCUCAGAAGAAGGAGUCUCUCAGAAUCACUGUUCUUUUGUACCGUAUGACUGAGAUCCUACUGGAGGCUGCUACCACUCACCAAGCAACUCAGGCUCGGUUUCCUCUACUUUUCAUAAUACAUGUGGGUUUGAGACUCAUUUGUCUUCACUCACACAGUCUGAGAGAUGCAGAAAAAGUUUGCUGAAUAUUGAGUUUUGUCAAGCAUAAAGGAUGAUAUUCUGCUUCAUUUUAUAAAUAAAAUAUGACAAUGCCUGGCAAGACUGACUGAACUUUUGUCUUGAUGACUCAGCCAAGGCUCAGGAUCCUCCACUCUUGUCAGCUGUCUGGUUUGAUUCUGCUGCCGCUGUCACUCCUGCCUGUGAAUCCAGUGACGCCUCUGGAACAGAACAUUAUUGGAUACUGAUUGACUACUUGGGUAAAAUAACAGCCUGAGGGGAAUUCUACUUCUGAAGGAAGGCAUGGCAGUGUCUGGCUUUGAAAUCUUCUCCAAAGGAUUCCUAAGGGAAUAGCUGUAAAUUUCUCACUUUCAGGAAUACUGAAAUGCUACUCCUUGGCCUAAGUUAGCCUUAUUGUAGACAGGAGUCAUUGACCUUCGAAUGAUAUCCAGGUGGGGUCUUGUCUCGAUGUUUUUAGCAACUUUGAAGAAAAAGAGAUCUUGGGUUUGGUUGUUAAGUCUAGAAAUAUUAAUUUCUGGCGGUAAAAUUACUACUGAGUUAGUUAUGUUUCUUACUAUUUAGCAACAUGGGAGCUCAUUUUUUAAAAAUUAAAAAAAAAAUUUUUAUAAACAUAUAAUGUAUUUUUAUCCCCAGGGGUACAGGUCUGUGAAUAGCCAGGUUUACACACUUCACAGCACUCACCAUAGCAUAUACCCUCCCCAAUGUCCAUAACCCCACCCCCCUCUCCCAAACCCCCUCCACCCAGCAACCCUCAGUUUGUUUUGUGAGAUUAAGAGUCAUUUAUGGUUUGUCUCCCUCCCAAUCCCAUCUUGUUUCAUUUAUUCUUCUCCUAUCCCCUUAACCCCCCCCCCAAUGUUGCAUCUCCACUUCCUCAUAUCAGGGAGAUCAUAUGAUUAUUGUCUUUCCCUGAUUAACUUAUUUCACUAAGCAUGAUACCCUCUAGUUCCAUCCAUGUUGUCACAAAUGGCAAGAUUUCAUUUCUUUUGAUGGCUGCAUAGUAUUCCAUUGUGUAUAUAUACCACUUCUGCUUUAUCCAUUCAUCUGUUGAUGGACAUCUAGGUUCUUUCCAUAGUUUGGCUAUUGUAGACAUUGUUGUUAUAAACAUUCGGGUGCACGUGCCC